GACGAACGCUGGCGGCGUGCCUAAUACAUGCAAGUAGAACGCUGAAGCGAGGAGCUUGCUCUUCUUGGAUGAGUUGCGAACGGGUGAGUAACGCGUAGGUAACCUGCCUUGUAGCGGGGGAUAACUAUUGGAAACGAUAGCUAAUACCGCAUAACAAUGGAUGACACAUGUCAUUUAUUUGAAAGGGGCAAUUGCUCCACUACAAGAUGGACCUGCGUUGUAUUAGCUAGUAGGUGAGGUAAUGGCUCACCUAGGCGACGAUACAUAGCCGACCUGAGAGGGUGAUCGGCCACACUGGGACUGAGACACGGCCCAGACUCCUACGGGAAGCAGCAGGAGGGAAUCUUCGGCAAUGGGGGCAACCCUGACCGAGCAACGCCGCGUAAGUGAAGAAGGGUGUCGGAUCGUAAAGCUCUGUUGUAAGUCAAGAACGGGUGUGAGAGUGGAAAGUUCACACUGUGACGGUAGCUUACCAGAAAGGGACGGCUAACUACGUG
This 497-nucleotide ribosomal RNA is filed under the name uncultured bacterium. RNAcentral's name for it is "partial 16S ribosomal RNA". It matches the Rfam family "Bacterial small subunit ribosomal RNA", at positions 28 to 507 of the family's 1533-position model. The record is from RNAcentral.